RNAcentral lists this ribosomal RNA (407 nucleotides) under uncultured bacterium. RNAcentral describes it as "partial 16S ribosomal RNA". It matches the Rfam family "Bacterial small subunit ribosomal RNA", at positions 360 to 774 of the family's 1533-position model. The record is from RNAcentral.
AAUAUUGCGCAAUGGAGGUAACUCUGACGCAGCGACGCCGCGUGAUCGAUGAAGGUCUUCGGUUCGUAAAGCUCUGUCCUUGGGGAAGAAGGUCUUCGGACUUGACGGUACCUAAGGAGGAAGCACCGGCUAACUACGUGCCAGCAGCCGCGUUAAUACGCAGGGGGCAAGCGUUGUCCGGAAUUAUUGGGCGUAAAGGUUGCGUAGGCGGCCUUUUAAGUCCGAUGUGUAAGCCCACGGCUUAACCGUGGGAAUGCAUUUGAAACUGGAGGGCUUGAGUAUCGGGGAGGGUAGUGGAAUUCCCAGUGUAGCGGUGGAAUGCGUAGAUAUUGGGAGGAACACCAGUGGCGAAGGCGACUACCUGGACGAAAACUGACGCUGAGGCACGAAAGCUAGGGGAGCAAACA